GCUCCCAUCGUCUAGCGGCCUAGGACAGUGGAUUCUCAGUCCACGAACUGGGGUUCAAAUCCCCAUGGGAGUA
Molecule: transfer RNA, 73 nt
Filed under: Planctomycetota bacterium
Lineage: Bacteria; Pseudomonadati; Planctomycetota
Description: tRNA-Glu
Rfam family: tRNA
About the family: Transfer RNA (tRNA) molecules are approximately 80 nucleotides in length.
Source: RNAcentral